UGGGGAAUAUUGCACAAUGGGGGAAACCCUGAUGCAGCGACGCCGCGUGAACGAAGAAGGUAUUCGUAUCGUAAAGUUCUGUCCUAUGGGAAGAUAAUGACAGUACCAUAGAAGAAAGCUCCGGCUAAAUACGUGCCAGCAGCCGCGGUAAUACGUAUGGAGCGAGCGUUGUCCGGAAUUAUUGGGCGUAAAGUGUACGCAGGCGGUUUAAUAAGUCGAAUGUUAAAGAUCGGGGCUCAACCCCGCAAAGCAUUGGAAACUGAUAAACUUGAGUAGUGGAGAGGAAAGUGGAAUUCCUAGUGUAGUGGUGAAAUACGUAGAUAUUAGGAGGAAUACCAGUAGCGAAGGCGACGUUCUGGACACAAACUGACGCUGAGGUACGAAAGCGUGGGGAGCAAACAGG
RNAcentral lists this ribosomal RNA (403 nucleotides) under bacterium. RNAcentral describes it as "partial 16S ribosomal RNA". It matches the Rfam family "Bacterial small subunit ribosomal RNA", at positions 355 to 776 of the family's 1533-position model. The record is from RNAcentral.